CAGUCGCCGCGGGAAUACGGAGGAUCCAAGCGUUAUCCGGAAUCAUUGGGUUUAAAGGGUCCGUAGGCGGUCUUGUAAGUCAGUGGUGAAAGCCCAUCGCUCAACGGUGGAACGGCCAUUGAUACUGCAGGACUUGAAUUAUUGGGAUGUAACUAGAAUAUGUAGUGUAGCGGUGAAAUGCUUAGAGAUUACAUGGAAUACCAAUUGCGAAGGCAGGUUACUACCAAUUGAUUGACGCUGAUGGACGAAAGCGUGGGUAGCGAACAGGAUUAGAUACCCGGGUAGUCCCUGUCUCUUAUAC
This 301-nucleotide ribosomal RNA is filed under the name uncultured bacterium. RNAcentral describes it as "partial 16S ribosomal RNA". It matches the Rfam family "Bacterial small subunit ribosomal RNA", at positions 509 to 807 of the family's 1533-position model. The record is from RNAcentral.